This 254-nucleotide ribosomal RNA is filed under the name uncultured bacterium. RNAcentral describes it as "partial 16S ribosomal RNA". It matches the Rfam family "Bacterial small subunit ribosomal RNA", at positions 524 to 776 of the family's 1533-position model. The record is from RNAcentral.
UACGAAGGGGGCUAGCGUUGCUCGGAAUCACUGGGCGUAAAGCGCACGUAGGCGGACUCUUAAGUCGGUGGUGAAAUCCUGGAGCUCAACUCCAGAACUGCCUCCGAUACUGCGAGUCUCCGAGUCCGGGAGAGGUGAGUGGAACUGCGAGUGUAGAGGUGAAAUUCGUAGAUAUUCGCAAGAACACCAGUGGCGAAGGCGACUCACUGGCCCGAUACUGACGCUGAGGCACGAAAGCGUGGGGAGCAGACAGG